RNAcentral lists this transfer RNA (67 nucleotides) under Laurus azorica. Its description in RNAcentral is "tRNA-Thr". The stretch from base 17 to 67 matches the Rfam family "tRNA", at positions 1 to 50 of the family's 71-position model. Rfam says of the family: Transfer RNA (tRNA) molecules are approximately 80 nucleotides in length. Lineage: Eukaryota; Viridiplantae; Streptophyta; Magnoliopsida; Laurales; Lauraceae. The record is from RNAcentral.
UAUUUUGUAUCGUUUUGGCGGCAUGGCCGAGUGGUAAGGCGGGGGACUGCAAAUCCUUUCUCCCCAG